RNAcentral lists this ribosomal RNA (253 nucleotides) under uncultured bacterium. RNAcentral's name for it is "partial 16S ribosomal RNA". It matches the Rfam family "Bacterial small subunit ribosomal RNA", at positions 524 to 776 of the family's 1533-position model. The record is from RNAcentral.
UACGAAGGGAGCUAGCGUUGUUCGGAAUCACUGGGCGUAAAGCGCACGUAGGCGGGCUUGUAAGUCAGGGGUGAAAUCCCGGGGCUCAACCUCGGAACUGCCUCUGAUACUGCAAGUCUCGAGUCCGGAAGAGGUGGGUGGAAUUCCUAGUGUAGAGGUGAAAUUCGUAGAUAUUAGGAAGAACACCGGUGGCGAAGGCGGCCCACUGGUCCGGUACUGACGCUGAGGUGCGAAAGCGUGGGGAGCAAACAGG